GCUGGCGGUAGGCCUUAUACAUGCAAGUCGAGCGAGAAAGUAUCUUCGGAUAUGAGUAGAGCGGCGGACGGGUGAGUAACGCGUAGGAAUCUACCUAGUAGAAGGGGAUAGCCCGGGGAAACUCGGAUUAAUACCGUAUACCUCCUUUGGGAGAAAGAGGGCCUCUCUUUGAUGCUCUCGCUACUAGAUGAGCCUGCGUAAGAUUAGCUAGUUGGUGAGGUAAUGGCUCACCAAGGCGACGAUCUUUAGCUGGUCUGAGAGGACGAUCAGCCACAUUGGGACUGAGACACGGCCCAGACUCCUACGGGAGGCAGCAGUAGGGAAUAUUGGACAAUGAGCGCAAGCUUGAUCCAGCCAUACCGCGUGUGUGAAGAAGGCUUUCGGGUUGUAAAGCACUUUAAGCAGGGAGAAAAAGUUAUAGGCUAAUACCCUAUGACCGUGAUGUUACCUGCAGAAUAAGCACCGGCUAAUUCCGUGCCAGCAGCCGCGGUAAUACGGAAGGUGCAAGCGUUAAUCGGAAUUACUGGGCGUAAAGCGCGCGUAGGUGGUUUGUUAAGUUGGAUGUGAAAGCCCUGG
This 576-nucleotide ribosomal RNA is filed under the name uncultured Pseudomonadota bacterium. RNAcentral's name for it is "bacterial SSU rRNA". It matches the Rfam family "Bacterial small subunit ribosomal RNA", at positions 35 to 606 of the family's 1533-position model. Lineage: Bacteria; Pseudomonadati; Pseudomonadota. The record is from RNAcentral.